This 1380-nucleotide ribosomal RNA is filed under the name uncultured bacterium. RNAcentral describes it as "partial 16S ribosomal RNA". It matches the Rfam family "Bacterial small subunit ribosomal RNA". The record is from RNAcentral.
AGAGUUUGAUCCUGGCUCAGGAUGAACGCUGGCGGCGUGCUUAACACAUGCAAGUCGAACGAGAGAAGAUCGGUGCUUGCACUGAUCCGAUCGAGUGGCGGACGGGUGAGUAACGCGUGGGUAACCUGCCUCAUACAGGGGAAUAACAGUUGGAAACGGCUGCUAAAACCGCAUAAGCGCACGGUAUCGCAUGAUACAGUGUGAAAAACUCCGGUGGUAUGAGAUGGACCCGCGUCUGAUUAGCUAGUUGGUGAGGUAACGGCCCACCAAGGCAACGAUCAGUAGCCGGCCUGAGAGGGUGAACGGCCACAUUGGGACUGAGACACGGCCCAAACUCCUACGGGAGGCAGCAGUGGGGAAUAUUGCACAAUGGGGGAAACCCUGAUGCGGCGACGCCGCGUGAGUGAUGAAGUAUUUCGGUAUGUAAAGCUCUAUCAGCAGGGAAGAUAAUGACGGUACCUGACUAAGAAGCACCGGCUAAAUACGUGCCAGCAGCCGCGGUAAUACGUAUGGUGCAAGCGUUAUCCGGAUUUACUGGGUGUAAAGGGUGCGUAGGUGGUGAGACAAGUCUGAAGUGAAAAUCCGGGGCUUAACCCCGGAACUGCUUUGGAUACUGUCGGGCUUGAGUGCAGGAGAGGUUAGUGGAAUUCCCAGUGUAGCGGUGAAAUGCGUAGAGAUUGGGAGGAACACCAGUGGCGAAGGCGACUAACUGGACUGUAACUGACGCUGAGGCGCGAAAGUGUGGGGAGCAAACAGGAUUAGAUACCCUGGUAGUCCACACUGUAAACGAUGAAUGCUAGGUGUAGGGGGUAUCGACCCCUUCUGUGCCGCAGUCAACACAAUAAGCAUUCCGCCUGGGGAGUACGGCCGCAAGGUUGAAACUCAAAGGAAUUGACGGGGGCCCGCACAAGCAGCGGAGCAUGUGGUUUAAUUCGACGCAACGCGAAGAACCUUACCAGGUCUUGACAUCCACUUAAACUUACAGAGAUGUAAGGUGUGCUUGCACAAAGUGAGACAGGUGGUGCAUGGUUGUCGUCAGCUCGUGUCGUGAGAUGUUGGGUUAAGUCCCGCAACGAGCGCAACCCUUAUCUUCAGUUACUAACGCGUGAGGGUGAGGACUCUGAAGAGACUGCCGGGGACAACUCGGAGGAAGGUGGGGACGACGUCAAAUCAUCAUGCCCCUUAUGACCUGGGCUACACACGUGCUACAAUGGCCACGACAGAGAGAAGCGAAAUCGCAAGGUAGAGCGGAACUCAAAAAAGUGGUCCCAGUUCGGAUUGUGGGCUGCAACCCGCCCACAUGAAGUCGGAGUUGCUAGUAAUCGCGGAUCAGCAUGCCGCGGUGAAUACGUUCCCGGGCCUUGCACACACCGCCCGUCA